GACAGAGGCCUCAAGCGUUAGGCGGAAUCACUGGGCUUAAAGCGUGUGUAGGCGGAUCGUUAAGUGUCUUGUGAAAUCCCACGGCUCACCCGUGGAACGGCUGGGCAUACUGGCGAUCUUGGGCCAACUAGGGGCAACUGGAACAAGCGGUGGAGCGGUGAAAUGCGUAGAUAUCAGGAAGAACACCCGUGGCGAAGGCGGCUCUCUGGGACGGUACUGACGCUGAGACGCGAAAGCGUGGGGAGCGAACAGG
Molecule: ribosomal RNA, 253 nt
Filed under: uncultured bacterium
Lineage: Bacteria
Description: partial 16S ribosomal RNA
Rfam family: Bacterial small subunit ribosomal RNA
Source: RNAcentral